GGACAGGGAGAUAAGCUGGUUGUGCGCAGCCCUGAAAAGGCUGGCGUCGGGGGUUCAACUCCCUCCCUGGCCA
Molecule: transfer RNA, 73 nt
Filed under: uncultured Candidatus Sulfotelmatobacter sp.
Lineage: Bacteria; Pseudomonadati; Acidobacteriota; Terriglobia; Terriglobales; Candidatus Korobacteraceae
Rfam family: tRNA
About the family: Transfer RNA (tRNA) molecules are approximately 80 nucleotides in length. Their secondary structure includes four short double-helical elements and three loops (D, anti-codon, and T loops). Further hydrogen bonds mediate the characteristic L-shaped molecular structure. tRNAs have two regions of fundamental functional importance: the anti-codon, which is responsible for specific mRNA codon recognition, and the 3' end, to which the tRNAs corresponding amino acid is attached (by aminoacyl-tRNA synthetases). tRNAs cope with the degeneracy of the genetic code in two manners: having more than one tRNA (with a specific anti-codon) for a particular amino acid; and 'wobble' base-pairing, i.e. permitting non-standard base-pairing at the 3rd anti-codon position.
Source: RNAcentral